RNAcentral lists this ribosomal RNA (509 nucleotides) under Hypogeophis pti. RNAcentral describes it as "partial 16S ribosomal RNA". It matches the Rfam family "Bacterial large subunit ribosomal RNA", at positions 1862 to 2606 of the family's 2925-position model. The record is from RNAcentral. Lineage: Eukaryota; Metazoa; Chordata; Amphibia; Gymnophiona; Indotyphlidae.
CCCAGUGAUCCUAUUCAACGGCCGCGGUAUUCUGACCGUGCAAAGGUAGCAUAAUCAUUUGUCUUUUAAAUAAAGACUAGUAUGAAUGGCACCACGAAAGCUUAACUGUCUCCCUUGCUUAGUCAAUGAAACUGAUUUUCCCGUACAAAAGCGGGGAUAUUAAAAUAAGACGAGAAGACCCUAUGGAACUUAAAACACGCAAUCACUUUAACUUAAUAUAACAGCAAUAAAUGACUGAACUAUGCUGUUUUUGGUUGGGGCGACCACGGAGCAAAACCCAACCUCCGAGAACACUACCCAGAUAGACACAACAAAGUACCAAAACUUUGGAUUUAGACCCAAUAAACUUGAUCACCGAACCAAGCUACCCUAGGGAUAACAGCGCAAUCUUCUUCAAGAGCCCUUAUCACCAAGAAGGUUUACGACCUCGAUGUUGGAUCAGGAUACCCAGACAGUGCAGCCGCCGUCAAAGGUUUGUUUGUUCAACAAUUAAUAAUCCUACGUGAUCU